CCUACGGGAGGCUGCAGUGGGGAAUAUUGGACAAUGGGGGGAACCCUGAUCCAGCCAUGCCGCGUGUGUGAAGAAGGCCCUCGGGUUGUAAAGCACUUUCAGUGAGGAAGAACGCCUGGUGGUUAAUACCCAUCAGGAAAGACAUCACUCACAGAAGAAGCACCGGCUAACUCCGUGCCAGCAGCCGCGGUAAUACGGAGGGUGCGAGCGUUAAUCGGAAUUACUGGGCGUAAAGCGCGCGUAGGUGGCUUGAUAAGCCGGUUGUGAAAGCCCGGGGCUCAACCUGGGAACGGCAUCCGGAACUGUCAAGCUAGAGUGCAGGAGAGGAAGGUAGAAUUCCCGGUGUAGCGGUGAAAUGCGUAGAGAUCGGGAGGAAUACCAGUGGCGAAGGCGGCCUUCUGGACUGACACUGACACUGAGGUGCGAAAGCGUGGGUAGCAAACAGGAUUAGAUACCCUAGUAGUC
Molecule: ribosomal RNA, 465 nt
Filed under: Vreelandella stevensii
Lineage: Bacteria; Pseudomonadati; Pseudomonadota; Gammaproteobacteria; Oceanospirillales; Halomonadaceae
Description: partial 16S ribosomal RNA
Rfam family: Bacterial small subunit ribosomal RNA
Source: RNAcentral